CCUACGGGAGGCAGCAGUAAGGAAUAUUGCUCAAUGGGAGAAAUCCUGAAGCAGCAACGCCGCGUGAGGGAUGAAGGCCUUUAGGUCGUAAACCUCUGUAAACAGAGAAAAAAUUCCCAUUCUAUGGGAUAUGAUGGUAUCUGUGAAGUAAGCCCCGGCUAACUACGUGCCAGCAGCCGCGGUAAUACGUAGGGGGCAAGCGUUGUCCGGAUUUACUGGGUGUAAAGGGUGCUCAGGUGGCUAAGCAAGUCAGUGGUGAAAUCUGAGAGCUUAACUCUCAAACUGCCAUUGAUACUGCAUAGCUUGAGUAUGGAAGAGGUUGAUGGAAUUUCAGGUGUAGCAGUGAAAUGCGUAGAUAUCUGAAAGAACACCAGUGGCGAAGGCGGUCAACUGGUCCAUUACUGACACUAAAGCACGAAAGCGUGGGUAGCAAACAGGAUUAGAUACCCUGGUAGUCCACGCCCUAAACGAUGAAUACUAGACGUUGGAUGUAAAAAUUCAGUGUCGAAGCUAACGCAUUAAGUAUUCCACCUGGGGAGUACGAUCGCAAGGUUGAAACUCAAAGGAAUUGACGG
This 575-nucleotide ribosomal RNA is filed under the name uncultured bacterium. RNAcentral describes it as "bacterial SSU rRNA". It matches the Rfam family "Bacterial small subunit ribosomal RNA", at positions 338 to 916 of the family's 1533-position model. The record is from RNAcentral.